Molecule: long non-coding RNA, 1000 nt
Organism: Trematomus bernacchii (emerald rockcod)
Lineage: Eukaryota; Metazoa; Chordata; Actinopteri; Perciformes; Nototheniidae
Exons: 5
Source: RefSeq, a predicted model, not a curated record
GUCACGUCUUGCCGUGAUACCGGGUUGCCUCUUCCUCCUCUUCCUCUUCUCCUCCAUUAUAUAAGCUACAUCAACACAUGUAUCUGGUUUCUAUGUGUUAUCAGUGGGCAGAUUGGACAUGCUGAUGAAAGCAGAGUGAAGUCAACACACUGGGAUAAUAACACGUUUUCAUUGAUGUUUCAUUAAGAAAUACCACAAGAAAGAAGAAGAACUGUAGGAAUAAAAUAACUUCUGUCUUUAUUUCUUCUCCUUUUACAGGCGCCACUUCAGGCACCAUCAUCCUUUCUCCUCCAGACCUAAAUCCUGUCCUGAGGAGGAAAGAGCAGUUUCUCCUGCAUCGAGCUCUGGGUCCAUGAAGAGUGCUCGCUCCAUGGAUUUCCCCAUGGAUUUCAAAAGGGAGUACCUCUUGGUCGGUGUUCGUACAUCUAACCUCUUCUCCAGUGAACGCAGCAUUGGCUUCAGUGCUGAGGAGGAAAGAGCAGGUUCUCCUACAUCGAGCUGUGGGUCCAUGAAGAGUGACGACUCCAAGGAUUUCCCUGUUUCUAACGAGAUCCAGGGAUAGAUGCAGGACCCUGGACGGACCUGGAGAGACCUGGAGAGACCUGGAGAGACCUGGAGAGACCUGGACUCCAUGGUCUCGGUGCGUUCUAGUAGUGUUGUUGCCUCACAGAAGCAGAGCAGUGAACUUCAGUGGUAGCAGCGAAAAUGAUUGUUACAGGUUACAGUUGUUAGCUAAUGUGACUUUUAGUUCAUAAGUAAAUGAAUCUUAAUAAAUGUGUACACCUGUCUAUAAAGGCAGCUAGUUUAAGGGAUUUAAAGCUAUAUUUAAAAUUUGUAUUCUUUCCAUUUCCGUCAGAGCCCUUUCAGACGGGGAUCUGAAGCCGUUAUCCAUGCUCUCUUCAGGGUUCCCACGGGUGCUGGAAAUCCUUGAAAAUGCUUGAAAUUGUACGAGGUGUUUUCAAGGUUUGAAAAGUGCUUGAAUUUUGGGAAUGGUGCUUGA